AACCGGAUUAGAUACCCUGGUAGUCCACGCUGUAAACGAUGAAAACUAGAUGUUGGUAGGCUAAGACCUAUUAGUAUCGAAGCUAACGCGAUAAGUUUUCCGCCUGGGGAGUACGGUCGCAAGAUUAAAACUCAAAGAAAUUGACGGGGGCCCGCACAAGCGGUGGAGCAUGUGGUUUAAUUCGAUGCAACGCGAAGAACCUUACCUACCCUUGACAUCCUGAGAAUCUCGUAGAGAUAUGAGAGUGCCGCAAGGAACUCAGAGACGGGUGCUGCAUGGCUGUCGUCAGCUCGUGUUGUGAGAUGUUGGGUUAAGUCCCGUAACGAGCGCAACCCUUAUCUUUAGUUGCCAACAUGUAAUGGUGGGGACUCUAAAGAGACUGCUGGUGAUGAACCGGAGGAAGGCGGGGACGACGUCAAGUCAUCAUGGCCUUUAUGGGUAGGGCUACACACGUGCUACAAUGGCGCGUACGGAGAGUUGCGAACCUGCGAAGGGGAGCCAAUCUCGCAAAGCGCGUCGUAGUCCGGAUCGGAGUCUGCAACUCGACUCCGUGAAGUCGGAAUCGCCAGUAAUCGCGAAUCAGAACGUCGCGGUGAAUACGUUCCCGGGCCUUGUACACACCGCCCGUCACACCAUGGGAGUGGGUUGUACCAGAAGUAGGUAGUUUAACCCUCACGGGGAAACGCUUACCACGGUAUGGUUCAUGACUGGGGUGAAGUCGUAACAAGGUAGCCGUAA
Molecule: ribosomal RNA, 738 nt
Filed under: uncultured Coxiellaceae bacterium
Lineage: Bacteria; Pseudomonadati; Pseudomonadota; Gammaproteobacteria; Legionellales; Coxiellaceae
Description: bacterial SSU rRNA
Rfam family: Bacterial small subunit ribosomal RNA
Source: RNAcentral